RNAcentral lists this ribosomal RNA (254 nucleotides) under uncultured bacterium. RNAcentral's name for it is "partial 16S ribosomal RNA". It matches the Rfam family "Bacterial small subunit ribosomal RNA", at positions 524 to 776 of the family's 1533-position model. The record is from RNAcentral.
UACGUAGGGCGCAAGCGUUAUCCGGAAUUAUUGGGCGUAAAGAGCUCGUAGGCGGUUUGUCGCGUCUGCCGUGAAAGUCCGGGGCUCAACUCCGGAUCUGCGGUGGGUACGGGCAGACUAGAGUGAUGUAGGGGAGACUGGAAUUCCUGGUGUAGCGGUGAAAUGCGCAGAUAUCAGGAGGAACACCGGUAGCGAAGGCGGGACUCUGGGCCGAUGACUGACGCUGAGGAGCGAAAGCGUGGGGAGCAAACAGG